Molecule: ribosomal RNA, 449 nt
Filed under: uncultured bacterium
Lineage: Bacteria
Description: partial 16S ribosomal RNA
Rfam family: Bacterial small subunit ribosomal RNA
Source: RNAcentral
AGCGAACGCUGGCGGCAGGCCUAACACAUGCAAGUCGAACGAAGUCUUCGGACUUAGUGGCGGACGGGUGAGUAACACGUGGGAACGUACCUUUUGGUUCGGAAUAACUGAGGGAAACUUCAGCUAAUACCGGAUAAGCUCUUCGGAGGAAAGAUUUAUCGCCAUUAGAGCGGCCCGCGUUGGAUUAGGUAGUUGGUGUGGUAAAGGCGCACCAAGCCUACGAUCCAUAGCUGGUCUGAGAGGAUGAUCAGCCACACUGGGACUGAGAAACGGCCCAGACUCCUACGCGAAGCAGCAGGGAGGAGUCUUGCGGAGUGAUCGGAGAACUGACGCCGCCAUGCCGCGUGAAUGAUGAAGGUCUUAGGAUUGUAAAAUUCUUUUAGCAGGGACGAUAAUGACGGUACCUGCAGAAAAAGCCCCGGCUAACUGCGUGCCAGCGGCCGCCGUAA